AUGAAGCUGGAAUCGCUAGUAAUCGCGAAUCAGCAUGUCGCCGGGUGAAUACGUUCCCGGGUCUUGUACACACCGCCCGUCACACCAUGGGAGUUGGUAACGCCCGAAGUCAGUGACCUAACUGCAAGGGGAGGAGCUGCCGAAGGUGGGGCCAGUAACUGGGGUGAAGUCGUAACAAGGUAUC
RNAcentral lists this ribosomal RNA (184 nucleotides) under uncultured bacterium. Its description in RNAcentral is "partial 16S ribosomal RNA". It matches the Rfam family "Bacterial small subunit ribosomal RNA", at positions 1320 to 1500 of the family's 1533-position model. The record is from RNAcentral.